UACAGAGGGUGCAAACGUUGUUCGGAAUUACUGGGCGUAAAGCGCGUGUAGGCGGCUACGCAAGUCGGAUGUGAAAGCCCACGGCUCAACCGUGGAAGUGCACCCGAAACUAUGUAGCUUGAGUUCUGGAGAGGAAGGCGGAAUGCUUGGUGUAGAGGUGAAAUUCGUAGAUAUCAAGCGGAACACCGGUGGCGAAGGCGGCCUUCUGGACAGUGACUGACGCUGAGACGCGAAAGCGUGGGGAGCAAACAGG
Molecule: ribosomal RNA, 253 nt
Filed under: uncultured bacterium
Lineage: Bacteria
Description: partial 16S ribosomal RNA
Rfam family: Bacterial small subunit ribosomal RNA
Source: RNAcentral